GGGCUCGUAGCGCAGUUGGUUAGCGCGUCACAUUGACAUUGUGAAGGUCAGAGGUUCGAAUCCUCUCGAGCCCACUA
RNAcentral lists this transfer RNA (77 nucleotides) under Candidatus Shapirobacteria bacterium CG10_big_fil_rev_8_21_14_0_10_38_14. RNAcentral describes it as "tRNA-Val". It matches the Rfam family "tRNA". From Rfam's summary of the family: Transfer RNA (tRNA) molecules are approximately 80 nucleotides in length. Their secondary structure includes four short double-helical elements and three loops (D, anti-codon, and T loops). Lineage: Bacteria; Candidatus Shapironibacteriota. The record is from RNAcentral.